AAAUUGAAGAGUUUGAUCAUGGCUCAGAUUGAACGCUGGCGGCAGGCCUAACACAUGCAAGUCGAGCGGUAGCACAGAGAGCUUGCUCUCGGGUGACGAGCGGCGGACGGGUGAGUAAUGUCUGGGAAACUGCCUGAUGGAGGGGGAUAACUACUGGAAACGGUAGCUAAUACCGCAUAACGUCGCAAGACCAAAGUGGGGGACCUUCGGGCCUCAUGCCAUCAGAUGUG
Molecule: ribosomal RNA, 230 nt
Filed under: Pseudomonas aeruginosa
Lineage: Bacteria; Pseudomonadati; Pseudomonadota; Gammaproteobacteria; Pseudomonadales; Pseudomonadaceae
Also listed under: 1 other name
Description: partial 16S ribosomal RNA
Rfam family: Bacterial small subunit ribosomal RNA
Source: RNAcentral